Long non-coding RNA from Pseudopipra pipra, 491 nucleotides. RefSeq lists it as uncharacterized. The transcript is spliced from 3 exons. Lineage: Eukaryota; Metazoa; Chordata; Aves; Passeriformes; Pipridae. The record is from RefSeq and is a predicted model, not a curated record.
GGAGAAACACUGGUACAGAGCACCUUCCUUCCCAGCCUCUGUGUCCCUGAUGUGAUCAUUCUUCCCAAGCCAUGGGGAGGAUGUGGGCUGGGCUUGGCUGAGCUCUUCAGCAAGUAACAGCAUCUUUUUUUUUUACAGGAGGAGCUGUGGAAGAUUCAGGAGAAGCUGGAGUGCUACUUUGGGUCUCUGGUGGGGUCCAAUGUUUACAUCCCUCCCCAGGGAUCCCAGGGCCUUCCUCCUCACUAUGAUGAUGUUGAGGUGUUUAUCCUUCAGCUGGAAGGUGAGAAACACUGGCGGCUCUAUAAACCAAGGGUGCCUUUAGCUCGGGAAUAUGAUGUGGAAUCAGAAGAUAGGAUUGGGAAUCCCACACGUGAGUUCAUAUUAAAGCCAGGUGACUUACUGUACUUCCCAAGAGGGACCAUCCACCAAGCUGACACUCCUCUUGGGACCUCCCAUUCCACACACGUGACCAUCAGUACCUACCAAAACAA